This 468-nucleotide ribosomal RNA is filed under the name uncultured bacterium. RNAcentral's name for it is "partial 16S ribosomal RNA". It matches the Rfam family "Bacterial small subunit ribosomal RNA", at positions 28 to 507 of the family's 1533-position model. The record is from RNAcentral.
GACGAACGCUGGCGGCGUGCUUAACACAUGCAAGUCGAACGGAAAGGCCCUGCUCUUGUGGGGUUCUCGAGUGGCGAACGGGUGAGUAACACGUGAGUAACCUGCACUUGACUUUGGGAUAACUUCAGGAAAAUGGGGAUAAAACAGGAUAGGAGCUACUGCAGCAUGGGGGGGGUUGGAAAGUGUCGGCGGUUGGGGAUGGACUAGAGGCUUAUCAGCUGGAUGGUGGGGUAGUGGAUUACCAAGGCUUUGACGGGUAGCCGGCCUGAGAGGGUGAACGGCCACCUUGGUCCUGCGGUACGGCCCAGUCUCCUACGGGAGGCAGCAGUGGGGAAUAUUGCGCAACGGGCCGAAGUCUGAUGCAGCAACGCCGCGUUCGUGAUGACGUCCUUCGAGUUGUAAACCGCUUUCGCCUGUGAUGAAGCGUUAGUGACGGUAAUGGGUAAAGAAGCACCGGCUAACUACGUG